UAAUCCAGGUCGGUUUCUAUCUAUGUAGCCGCUUUCUUCAGUACGAAAGGACAAAGAAAGGGGGACCCCUGUCAAAAACACGUCCCACACUACUAACUGAAUAAAACUUAAGUAAACAGCUAUCUACCACGACCAAAGAUCGUGGUCUU
This 149-nucleotide ribosomal RNA is filed under the name Plestiodon quadrilineatus. RNAcentral's name for it is "partial 16S ribosomal RNA". Lineage: Eukaryota; Metazoa; Chordata; Lepidosauria; Squamata; Scincidae. The record is from RNAcentral.